UGGCGCUGGCAGCUGCUGGUGGCGACUGCUGACUGCUGGAAUAAGAGGAGACUGGAGGCUGCGGACAGUGUGCUGGGAAUGGAGAGGCCGAGUACAUCCAUGGCAACCAGUAAGGUGUUCGUCAGUGGCCUAGAUGGUAUGACCUUAGGUGAGGUCUGCUGUGUGGAAAUCGCCUUCUUGGUCUGACUCUUGCUGCCAAGGUACCCCUUAUUACGGCUGUUUGCCUUCCUCUCAGCUCCGAUGCACUUUGAGUGAAUCCUUAACCUUAGCCUGAUAUAUGUUGAAAGGAUUUUUUUUUUCAGCUCAUGGCAUGAGGGAAGGUUGCUGUCCAGACUCAUGGCCUCUCUUUCCAGCUGUUCCACUACGUUGGAGGAUUCCAUAAGGGAAUCACUCGUCUUGGAACGGAAGAGCUGCUCCACGUGCUGCAGGAGAGUGAACAGCUCAUCGGAUGGCCGUGCACAUUGGCAUUCCUCACAGAGCGAGAAGCUGAUGACCCUCUUCGCUAUGUAUCCUGCCAGGUGGUAGAGGACACAAGACUCGGUCUUUGUGAGGUCAGGUGGUGAUGGAUCUACCAGCUUCUCCACUCUGACAACCUCAGAAGCACUGCAGUUGCUGUUCUUGUUGUCCAAGAAGUCCGCCAAGUGGUCUGAUGCAUCAUCCAGAUCUUGCUGGACCAGCAGUAUCGUUGUUGUGGCCAUCACAGGUUUCAGUGGAGCGCCCCCCCCCCCAAAAAAAAUGGUUACGAUACCUGUUCUUAACGCCUGUUUACACAUUUGUUGUUCUUGUUCACACAUACUGUACGUAUGUUUGUUGAUAUUAUUCAUGCUUGUUCC
Fundulus heteroclitus (mummichog) is the source of this 833-nucleotide long non-coding RNA. RefSeq lists it as uncharacterized. The transcript is spliced from 3 exons. The record is from RefSeq and is a predicted model, not a curated record. NCBI's taxonomy places the organism in Eukaryota, Metazoa, Chordata, Actinopteri, Cyprinodontiformes, Fundulidae.